GACGAACGCUGGCGGCGCGCCUAACACAUGCAAGUCGAACGAGCGAGAGAGAGCUUGCUUUCUUGAGCGAGUGGCGAACGGGUGAGUAACGCGUGAGGAACCUGCCUCAAAGAGGGGGACAACAGUUGGAAACGACUGCUAAUACCGCAUAAGCCCACGACCCGGCAUCGGGUUGAGGGAAAAGGAGCAAUCCGCUUUGAGAUGGCCUCGCGUCCGAUUAGCUAGUUGGUGAGGUAACGGCCCACCAAGGCGACGAUCGGUAGCCGGACUGAGAGGUUGAACGGCCACAUUGGGACUGAGACACGGCCCAGACUCCUACGGGAGGCAGCAGUGGGGAAUAUUGCACACUGGGGGAAACCCUGAUGCAGCGACGCCGCGUGGAGGAAGAAGGUCUUCGGAUUGUAAACUCCUGUUGUUGAGGAAGAUAAUGACGGUACUCAACAAGGAAGUGACGGCUACCUACGU
RNAcentral lists this ribosomal RNA (465 nucleotides) under uncultured bacterium. RNAcentral's name for it is "partial 16S ribosomal RNA". It matches the Rfam family "Bacterial small subunit ribosomal RNA", at positions 28 to 506 of the family's 1533-position model. The record is from RNAcentral.